CAGACGCGCCCUCUUUCAUACAAAUCGGGAAACCAACGCGCGGAAGGUUUCUCUCAAUAUAUUUUCGGAAAAUCAACGUUUUAAAAGCACUGUUCUUACCGAUUUACCUUAAUAAAUACUCUUUGGAGAUCGUGUGUGUUCAUGGUGAUAAUUUAGUGAGUUCUAAUAAAAUAUUCGCUUGCAAAAGUGUGACUAAAAAUAGAAGGGUUCCCUGCAUACUUGGAAGUUCUAGUUUGAGCUCCCAUUCAUAAAAUAGAGUCAUUUGGUGUCGGUCUGUGAAGUAAUUCAGAUCGAGCAGUGAAAAAUAUAAACUAGUGAAACAAGUUGUUGAGGUUUUGCAAUUGUGUAACUAUAAAUCGAUAGAGGGUGACCUCUGAAGUUACAGUUCACGAAAAAAGAGGACAGCAUCACAAUGGCGACGGAGGGCGGUCUGGCGCCAGCCGGCGACGGCGACAUGCCCGUGGGCGGUCCGAAGACGCCGCAGCAGAUCGCGGCCCAGCGGCGCCUUCAGCAGACGCAGGCACAAGUCGAUGAGGUGGUUGACAUCAUGAAAACCAAUGUGGAGAAGGUGUUGGAGCGAGAUCAAAAGCUGUCAGAGCUCGAUGACAGAGCAGACGCUUUACAACAAGGCGCAUCACAGUUUGAGCAGCAGGCUGGCAAACUGAAAAGCAAAUUCUGGUUGCAGAACUUAAAGAUGAUGAUAAUCGCCGCAGUAAUUGGAAUCAUUAUUUUGGCCCUAAUCAUUGCAAACUUUGUGUGAACAAGUUUCGGUAAACAAAGUCUAAUUUAGAAGUUACUGUUAAUAGUUAAAACCUAUGUUAUUUUAUAAAAAAAUACAUAAUGGUUAUUGCCUUUUUUUGGUCUGUAAACAAUAUACCGGAGGACUGACAUUACAGGAGCAUCGAACAGGUUUCGGUGUCUUGUAUUCACACCAGCAUGGGACACAUUAUCCAAAAAAAAGGUCAAACAUCACUAAUAUAACAAAAAUAUCCUCAUAUUUAUAUCAUCAAUUUAGUCAUCUUUGAAUUCUGUGUGGAACACGCAUUUUUCUGUAAACCCCUGAUUAAAUAGAGUAUUUUUUAGACAAAUUUUCCUUUUAGAAAAUUUACCUUGUUGACGUCACUUUAUACGCUACCAAUUAGAUAAGGCCAAUGGAUACCAGCCAUAACAGAAAAAAACAAAGAUUAUGUUCGUAUACCUAAACGCUAAGAUAUUUUCGUUCAAUUUGGACCACAUUUCUUAAAUGAAUUAUUACUAAACAUUUAUUUUUGUAUCAACUUCUUAAAAUUUUAUUUCUGAAGCAUUUAACGUUGAUCUUGAUAUAAACACUUAAUACAAACAUAUUUUAUAUGUAUGCAUGUAUUUGUGUUACUUAUACAGUCAUUUUAAUAGAUGUUGAAUAUGAUAGUAAAAAUAGUUAUUUAAGAUUAAGCAAAGUGGCAAAAUCUAGUCACAAAGCAAAGGCAACUACUUUUUUAUUAAUAGCUGACACUGUUUACAAUUUAUUUUUUAGACUCUUGCGAUUUAUACUGUAUAUGGUCUGCUUUUAGUGUUAAAAAAUAAUCUAUCAUUUACGUUCCAGAAACCUAAUAUUAAAAAAUACUUUAGCAAGACUCUUUAUCUUGCGCUACUUAUCAGUUACUUAGCUUUGGCAAAAUUGUAAAUAAAAAUAUGUGAAACAAUAAUAUUUUAAUUAAAUGCCAAAUAUCCCCUCAAUGGAACCAUAUCAAUAAACAAAAUAAUCAUAUCAGCCUAAAUUUCCUAAAACACAUUUAAAUAAUGAGAAAAAUUUUAACUUAUUUUCAUUUCUUAGAGAAACAGUUCAAAGUUGCACAUUUUAUACCAAAGAAUUAAUUUAAUUAGAGAGCUGACUUGCAUUGCUUUAUUUUUUAAUGUAGAAAUAAAUUAAAUUUCUGUUACACUUAAUAUUAACAUUAAGUAUAUCUAUUUGAAUCGAAGAUUUGUACGUAUUCGAGUUGUUAUAUGAAUAAGAAAUAGCGUGUAGUUUAAAUUAAGGAAUUAUGAUUUACAUUUAGAUCUGUUGUUUUGACAUGGGUUUAAUUUUUUAACACAAGUAUUAUAAUCUAGUACCUAAUGUUCAGCGGAUCGUACGUACAUAAUUAUACCUCUUUUCGUUGUCCAUAAAAUUACAUAUUAAUACCUUGAAACAAUAAAUCAGUAAUUAUAAUGAAGUUGACAUACAGUAUGUAAUAUUGAAAUAAAAAAUAUAUAGGGAUCAUUUGUUAAUUUACAUAAACUGUUGUCAUUGUCACUGUUAGUUUAAUCAAUAAACAAUUAAUUUUGACUAAGCAUGUAUUUUUUUUUACUUUUAAUUUAUUCACCUCUUGCGUUUGAUCCAGCUGGUCAUGGGAGUGCUUAAUAACUUAAAAAAAUAACCAAACAUCGCUAAUUGUGUGUAGUGUAUGUAAAAACGGCUUCCUAGUUAGACUAUGUAAAUCUGGUGUUAUUAUAAAGGGAGGUUUGGCCAGUAUAACUUGUAAUUUAUGCUUAGCUAAAGCUAAGAUUAUUAGAAAAACAAUGCUAGGUAACACAAAAAUUAUUUGACGCAUCUUAAUAAUAUUUAUUAGUCAUCCAACGCGUUUUUUUUUGGAAUUUAUUUUAUAAUAUUAUAUUUAUUACUGUAUGAAACAGUCACAAUAAAAAAAUUCGCAAUAAUUUUUAAAACACAAAAGUUUAAAUUCAAAUAAUGCCUAGUUGUUAAAAGGUACCCUAUUUUUAACAACUAGGUGUUAUUUAAAUUUUAACUGCCUUUAAAAACCAUCUUGUUGAUGGCUAAGAUAUUAUUGUAAGUGUAGUAAAAAAAAACUCUAGAAGUAAAAAUAUAUUACUCUACUAAAAUAUCUUAGCCCAAAAUACGCAUGAAAUUCCUAUUAUGGCACAUCGAAUUAUCAAAAAACUAAUUGUUUAAGUGCCUGCUUAUCAAUUGGGUCAACUUUGUUAAUACCAAAAGUAUCGUUACUCAAUAAUAAAAAAAUGUGUUUUAAAAAUUAGUCUAUGAUUCACUGUAAGGUAAACAAAAACACACCAGAAUUGUAAGUUAAAUAAUUAAGUAGGUUUAAGUACCUAUUGUUAAUAUAAUAUAUCUGUCAUUGUUACAAAUAGAAGAACCUUCACCUUUUCAGGCAGGCAACUUUAGUUUACAACAACGAUAGUCUUAUUACAAUUUAAGAGCGCUGUUUGUUACGAUUUUUAAAACAUCCUGUAUAUGUGAUUUGGGUUGGUUAUUUUCUUGUUUAUAUUUAACAAAGUUGUUUUAUGCCAUUUAAAAUUGUUUCAAACAUUGAAAAGAUAUUAUUACUUAUCUUCCUAUACCUAAUUAUAAACAAAUAACUAGCUGAAAAGACCCAACAAACUUGUUUGCUUGGUCUAAUUUAAGUUCUUACCUAAUACGGGAUAACUUUUCCCUUGAAUUGAAAAAAAAAUACAUUUGCAUUUUACAUAAAGUUAUACGAGAGAGCUGCCGCCGUAGAAUGGCACUACCGCUAUCCCGUUUCACUUGAUAAUAAAAAGCGAAACAAAAAGGUAAAAAACCACAGUAUUAUGAAUAGUGCUUACUGGCUAAGCGCAGUAUCGUUAUUUUCCAGUUUACUCUGUACACUUACCCCUUCAGAUGAGCUAUUCACAAACUAU
Molecule: RNA transcript, 3651 nt
Organism: Amyelois transitella
Lineage: Eukaryota; Metazoa; Arthropoda; Insecta; Lepidoptera; Pyralidae
Gene name: neuronal synaptobrevin
Exons: 8
Source: RefSeq, a predicted model, not a curated record